UAGAACGCUGAAGCUUGGUGCUUGCACCGAGCGGAUGAGUUGCGAACGGGUGAGUAACGCGUAGGUAACCUGCCUGGUAGCGGGGGAUAACUAUUGGAAACGAUAGCUAAUACCGCAUAAAAUGGAUUAUCGCAUGAUAAUUCAUUGAAAGGUGCAAAUGCAUCACUACCAGAUGGACCUGCGUUGUAUUAGCUAGUUGGUGGGGUAACGGCUCACCAAGGCGACGAUACAUAGCCGACCUGAGAGGGUGAUCGGCCACACUGGGACUGAGACACGGCCCAGACUCCUACGGGAGGCAGCAGUAGGGAAUCUUCGGCAAUGGACGGAAGUCUGACCGAGCAACGCCGCGUGAGUGAAGAAGGUUUUCGGAUCGUAAAGCUCUGUUGUAAGAGAAGAACGAGUGUGAGAGUGGAAAGUUCACACUGUGACGGUAUCUUACCAGAAAGGGACGGCUAACUACGUGCCAGCAGCCGCGGUAAUACGUAGGUCCCGAGCGUUGUCCGGAUUUAUUGGGCGUAAAGCGAGCGCAGGCGGUUAGAUAAGUCUGAAGUUAAAGGCUGUGGCUUAACCAUAGUACGCUUUGGAAACUGUUUAACUUGAGUGCAAGAGGGGAGAGUGGAAUUCCAUGUGUAGCGGUGAAAUGCGUAGAUAUAUGGAGGAACACCGGUGGCGAAAGCGGCUCUCUGGCUUGUAACUGACGCUGAGGCUCGAAAGCGUGGGGAGCAAACAGGAUU
This 734-nucleotide ribosomal RNA is filed under the name uncultured Streptococcus sp. RNAcentral's name for it is "bacterial SSU rRNA". It matches the Rfam family "Bacterial small subunit ribosomal RNA", at positions 62 to 779 of the family's 1533-position model. Lineage: Bacteria; Bacillati; Bacillota; Bacilli; Lactobacillales; Streptococcaceae. The record is from RNAcentral.